UUCAGUGUUUUAAAUGGUUUAAAUCACCAUGUCUGUUUGUUUUGCAGAGUUAGAGACUUCCGCGGAGAAUUCAGUGCUUGAUGAAAACCUCCUGAACAUUUGGAUCUUAAGUUAGAAUAAAAAGAGUUGGGAGAUAGUAAAAGCUGGAGACGUGUUGCUUGUGGAUGUGUUUCCAAGGUGAUAAACCUUUUCACUCCAAAAGUGACAAGAGGUUGAGAAAUCGCAACAGCCGCUCACGCUGCUCUGUGUUAUGAAUAAUUAAGGAUGGGCCACUCUGAGUGACAAGCUGUCUUCGGCUUCUCCAUCAGAUCCAGCCUCUCGUCCAAAUAUGGUCACUUCUGGCUCCAAAUCACGGAGAUGGACGCUUCAAACAGGAGUCCACAAACCAUCACGUGAGCCAGGCCUUGGGCUGCCAGCGGAGGACGUGAAGUCAAGUUAGGGAGCCAAGGCCACUGUCAGCUCUCAGUGGUUAGAAUAACCCAGAAAAACCUCCUGGGAACCGGGCCUGGAUCAGACCAGCGCUGGCAGGGAGAAUAAGUGAGAGUUUAGUUUAAAGCUUUCAAGCAGUGGCGGACUUGUUGGACCGUGUGAACACAGCCUCCUUCUUCAAUUCCUUCAGUCACCUUCUUCAGCAGACAAGUGUUGCCAUAUCUGCACAAAUCCAAAAGCCUGGUGACAUCCAAGUCUUUCAUAAUAUUUAAAAGUAGGGUUCUCCUUCCAACUGGGAAUAUGGGCUUUUAUUUUGGGCAUGCAUCUCUACCCAACUGGUCCAGCCACGGAGUCCAGAUUUCUCCUUAGUCACUAGUUCAAGGUCCACAGAGUUGAAUCAGUUCAGCAUCAUACUUGUGUUUGUCCAUGUCAUUGAGCUAGUCUGUUAAGUAGCUGCCUGCCCGCUUAGCCUGACGUGCACCUCCCCAGAAAUGUAACUACACUUUGUAGCGAUGCAGACCUCCUGUAUAUUUUUGUAAGCUGAAGCAUUUUAGGUCUUGUGUGUGAUUUAUCUUGGCUUCA
This is a long non-coding RNA of Epinephelus lanceolatus (giant grouper), 1011 nucleotides long. RefSeq lists it as uncharacterized. Lineage: Eukaryota; Metazoa; Chordata; Actinopteri; Perciformes; Serranidae. The record is from RefSeq and is a predicted model, not a curated record.